RNAcentral lists this transfer RNA (75 nucleotides) under Candidatus Mesenet longicola. RNAcentral describes it as "tRNA-Met". It matches the Rfam family "tRNA". Rfam says of the family: Transfer RNA (tRNA) molecules are approximately 80 nucleotides in length. Their secondary structure includes four short double-helical elements and three loops (D, anti-codon, and T loops). Further hydrogen bonds mediate the characteristic L-shaped molecular structure. tRNAs have two regions of fundamental functional importance: the anti-codon, which is responsible for specific mRNA codon recognition, and the 3' end, to which the tRNAs corresponding amino acid is attached (by aminoacyl-tRNA synthetases). tRNAs cope with the degeneracy of the genetic code in two manners: having more than one tRNA (with a specific anti-codon) for a particular amino acid; and 'wobble' base-pairing, i.e. permitting non-standard base-pairing at the 3rd anti-codon position. The record is from RNAcentral. Lineage: Bacteria; Pseudomonadati; Pseudomonadota; Alphaproteobacteria; Rickettsiales; Anaplasmataceae.
GGGACUGUAGCUCAGGUGGUUAGAGCUAUUCGCUCAUAACGAAGGGGUCGUAGGUUCAAGUCCUACCAGUCCCAC